UUUUAUGCGAUUACUGGUGUGAAUUGCAGAAUCCCGUGAACCAUCGAGUCUUUGAACGCAAGUUGCGCCCGAUGCCAUUAGGUUGAGGGCACGUCUGCCUGGGUGUCACAUAUCGAAGCCUCCUGCCAAUUUCCUUUUGACAGGUAUUGUGCAAGGGUGGAUGUUGGCCUCCCGUGAGCUCUUUUGCCUCAUGGUUGGUUGAAAAUUGAGACCUUGGUAGGGUGUGCCGUGAUAAAUGGUGGUUGUGUGACCCACGAGACCAAUCAUGCGCUGCUCUAUUGAAUUUGGCCUCUUUUACCCAUAUGCGUUUCUAAACGCUCGUGAUGAGACCUCAGGUCAGGCGGGGCUACCCGCUGAAUUUAAGCAUAUCAAUAAGCGGAGGAAAAGAAACUAACAAGGAUUCCCUUAGUAACGGCGAGCGAACCGGGAUAAGCCCACCAUGAGAAUCGGUCGCCCUCGGCGUUCGAAUUGUAGUCUGGAGNAAGCGUCAA
RNAcentral lists this ribosomal RNA (491 nucleotides) under Lathyrus odoratus (sweet pea). RNAcentral's name for it is "eukaryotic LSU rRNA". The stretch from base 327 to 491 matches the Rfam family "Eukaryotic large subunit ribosomal RNA", at positions 1 to 165 of the family's 3401-position model. Lineage: Eukaryota; Viridiplantae; Streptophyta; Magnoliopsida; Fabales; Fabaceae. The record is from RNAcentral.